UUGACCUUCCUGAAAUUCUCAUUUAAUAUCCAAAGAUGCGCUGGGGAUCAGCGUGCCAGAAGGCCAGGCUCCUUGGCGCUCUCUUCCCACCCCAGCACUUACCUGGAGCUCCAUCACCCAGCUCACAGCAGGCAGUGUAAGGCCCUGGAGGAUGGAUCAUCACCUCUUCAUGGCUAUCCUUGGUAUACUUGAAGUUUUCAAGUUCUCUCUUCAGUCUCUGUUUGUUUUAAGGCUCAGUUCCCUGGCUUUGUUCAACCCUUCACCUUGGGGGGAUGAUUUCUAGAUUCUGAUCUUGUCCCCUUUCAAAUCGCUCCCUUUGGUCCACAUCUCUACUCACAUGCAGUUGUAAGGCAGAAUACAUCUCGGCACUGAGGCCUUAUUAGGACUGAACAUAACAGAAAGACUAUUUUCCCCAUCUUGAAGGGCACUCUUCGAUUUACCCAUUGCAGAGUGACAGCCUUUCACUGAGCAGCUCUCCCAGCCCACUCUGCAGCCUGCGCGGUUCCCCAGCCCUUAAUUGUGCAAUUGAUUAUUUCUACCCAAGCAUAGGAUCUCGCACUGUCCCUCGUAACACACUUUUUAAAGAAGAUUAUUUCUGCAAUUUGUUGAGACCUUUCUGAGUUUUAAUUCUGUCCUCUUGUGUGCUUGCAGUCCCUCCCUGCACAGUGUUAUCAGCAGAUUUAACAAGCAUAUUCCUUCCUCUGUCAUCCUAGUCAUUAAUGAAAAAAUUAAUAAUGCUGAGCUCAAGGCAGGUCUCUCUGAAACUGUGCUCAAUUCAUCCUUUCCGUUCAAAGAGAGCCAUUUUCUGGAAAUGAAUGGUCUCCUAGCAGGCUCUGCCUGCUCUCCACCAAGUGCCGUGCUAAUGGUGAGGGCUGCAGCUGGGCACUGCUGCUCCACGGCCAUCCCACAGGGCUGCUCCUGCUGCUGUUCCUUGGUGUCGUGGUGCUUCUGUAGCUUCCUGAAUAGACGGAUAGCAAGCAGACACGCAGAGCAAUCCCACCUCCGCGUCCUUCCAGGCAGCAUCUCUUCUUCCCAUCUCUUUGGAUUCCCACUAUGAUAAUUAAGGUUCUGAUAUGGCUUCAGACAGUUCCUUAAGUAUGUGAAGAUAAAGCUCAUCAGCAUAACCAAUUUGAAAACAUCUAAAUUAGCCAGGCACUCUUGCUGCUCCCUUUUUGGGAGAUUACGAUCUUCCCUCUUUGUUACAGUAUUAUUGUGCCGACCAUCUGCUCUCAGUAGGCCUUUUUCAUGAAGAUGGAAGCAAGGAAAUCUCAUUAAACACUCAGCUUACUUGGCUAAUGGCUUUCCCACUCCUUUUUUGGACCUCCUCUAUUACUAAUGCAGUUGCAGGAUGAUAUCUGGUUAAUUGCCCCACGCUUUGAAUCCUGACCUGCCCAGAUUCACUGCUCUCAGCACUGCUUGGUGACAAACUUCCUGAAAUAAUGAAUGCUGAGGCUGAGGUGAUGGGUUGGAAUUCCUGCACAGUGGGGAGCACAGGAUGAACUUUCACUGUCAGGUGGUGGCUGUGGGUCAGGCCCUGAGUGGAGCCCCACGUGUUGGGGCAAUGGCAGUGGGAGCACACAAGAAGCCCUCAGGGAAUGAGAUUCCUGAUUUUUGUUCAAUCUAAUAGCACACAAUUUGAGCAAAUUGCAUUAACUUUUUUCUUUUUCUUUUUUUUUUAAUUCUCUCCUGACUCCUGCUAUUCUUAGUACACUGCUGAGAUUAUUUCUGAGGUCUUUAGAGUUCUCUGUGGAUUUCCUGUUAUUGGUCCCAAUGCUACAAGUAAUUGCUCUCUGUCCUCGAGCCUUUCCAAACAGGCUCCUGCAGUGAGUUUCACCUUUAUGUCUACGUGACCUCAAGGCACAUGAAAAAACCUUUUCAGUGAUAUUGGACAGCUUGUAAACAGACUUCCAAAUAAUUCCAGCCAGAUGUAAACAUGCAAGGGCUCGAAAAAAGUAUUGUGAGUUACAGAGAUACAGAUCAAUAGAGACUUGUGGUUUGAAUUCACUCAUGGUAUCAUAAUUUAGGCAAUAAGAAGAGGAAUAUUAUAACAUAAAAUGUCAUGGUUGCAACUCCAUUUGUGCUCUCACACCAGAGACUGAGGAAAUGAAGAGCACUCUGGGUAGCAGAGCUAAAUAAGAGCAAAGCACAGAGGAACCUGGCUGGGCAUGCUGACCUUCUUUUCAGAUUUCAAGUGACUUGAAAUGGAGCCAUAGUUAGAAGUGGCCAUUCACAUUGUUUCUUCCUGCAGAGCGUUAACCCACAGCUUACUGCAGCAAGCUGUUAUCCUCUAGCAGGAGAAAAACCAGCAUUUCCCCUUUUCUCUUGUAAUGUCUGAAACCAGGUGAGUUUUGUCAGGUCCGAAUAUUUCUAGCCUGGCUGAGAUAUCAGAAUGAAACAGAAAUGCUCACUAUUGGUUAUACAAUGCUAGGUGAAAUGCAGCAGAAACCUCACUUUUAUUCAAAUCCUCAGGAACCAAAGAGCGGGAGCCCUAGCUGUGGGUGCUGCUCUGGCUUUGGGGUGGCAGCCACAAGCCACCCCCAGCCCCUCAGCCACAAGCCCAGCCCCUGGGGGCACGAAGCCCAUGGCAGUGCAGUUUGCCUCCAAGCAGCCCAGAUCUAAGGGAGAGCAGCCCGGGCUGAGCACACCCAGCAGUGCUGAGCAGGAGGAACCAGAGCCUGGAGUCACCGCUGCAAAGUGCAGCCUGCACAGGACUCCAUUGUGGCUCUGCUGCUUUGCGGCCAGCUGGAGCUUUUCCUGGCUCUUUCUCUGUAGCUCUUCAGUUGGAAUGGAAGAAACAAAAAGCUUGGUCUGGAAUCCAGAGAGAACAUAAUAGGCGGGUUGUUACAGGUGGGUUUUCCUGGGAUUCUCAUGCUGAAUACAAGACCAAGAUUGAAGGCUUUGCCAUGAGUGCAGCUGCAGAGCUGUGAACUUCUGCAGGGAGUGAGCAGCCCUGAGGAGGCUGAAGAAGGAGGAAUCUGUGGAGAAGUGAGGUGGUGCUUUUUAAACAAAUCUUUCUUGACAAAAGAAUUGAAAUAUGAAGCCAAUUAAAACGCCAAGGAAUUUUCAAAACAGUCAAAACAGAGAAAAUACGCCUUUAAGCUCAGCCCAUGUAAGCAGAUAACAAAAUCCUGAUAGCUGACACCAGCUAGAAGCAAUUCAUAAAGAAGGGGUGUUUUCCUUCUUAUCCGUUGCUUCAAGCAGUCACUCAAUUUAAAUUUAACUUCCAGUUCAGCGAGUAAGGAGUUUAAGGUCUCUGGCUGGUGAUGGGAGGACAGCCGCUGCAACGCGAGCGUGCAUGCUUCAGCACACCAGGAUGCUUUGUGAUAUGUAAACCGAGGAGGGAAAAGACAGAGGUCAGACUAAAGGGCAGCAAGAGGAAAUGGUAGAGCUUACUGAUUCCGCUCGGAGCCGGUGAUCCAAGGAGCUUCCCCCAUGAGAUUGGUGAGAUCCCCAGCAGCCCUAUUACCUGCUGUGGAGGCGGAGGUGCACGGUAGUGUAGCUUCCAAGCCAACCGUGCGGCAGUUUGAUGGCUCCUGAGGACACAGGGCUGGGUGUCCAUCGCCCCACAGAUAGGGCACAUGCAAUGUUUGCCUUCCUCACCCUCAAAAAAUGAAGAACUUUCUUCUUUUUUAGUUACCGAGCUGGAAACUGUUAAACCAGGCCAAGAUGGUCCGUGAAGUAGUGGAAAAACAGUUGAAAAGUCAUUCGCUCAAUAAUCAGCGGGGCUGGGACUCCUUGUUCUCUGCCACCUCAACAGCCAGCAGCUGCAGGAAGAUUUUUCUCUCAAAGUUCUAGCAACAACAAAAAAAUGAGGACAAUUUGCUGAAAUGACAGAUAGUCACGAGGCUCUGAGAUCAGCCUGACUCUGCUUUGCAAAAGAACAAGAUCCACAACGCACCCUUCUCUUCCAACGCCUGCCCCAGAUUUUAAUACCACAAACCAGCAAGAACUGCUGGGAUGUGAAUUCUGAUCUUCUGAAUGUGCUGACCUGAAGGAACCAUCCUUAAUAUGGCUUCAGCUUUGCCGCUGCAGGUAUGUGGAGUGGAAGGAGCACGCAGGAUAGGGCUGGAGCUCUGCUUUGUUGAGCAGCAUCUGGGAAACCCAGUGCAAAACCAGGUAAGUACUUGUUGUGCUACGACAUCUGCCACCCAUUCCAUAUUUUGACCACUUAAUGACCUUUACAAGGAAUUAAUGUUCUUAUUUUUCAGUGCUUUGGUAUUUUAAUCCUUUUUAAGAACCAUUUCUAUUAUUUAGCGCCCACCUCCGUGUGCUUUAAUAUGAGAAUCUCAUUCAAUUUCAUUUUAUGUCCGUGGUACAAAUCUUUGAUCUUUAUUUUAGCUUGGUCUGUAAUGUAACCAUUAAGGAAAAUGCGAAGGAUGUCUCUGAUUUUCUCUUGCUAAAAGCAGGGCCAGCAGUUUCACAGAGCUCAGCACCAGGUAACGCUCCUCUCAAACAAUUUUCCCAUUUGAGGAAUAAAAGUUAACAAACAUGCCACAACAGAUGUUUUCAAUUUGGUGCUCUAGAUUGCAUUUUGAUGCACUGAACAGCACCACUUCGGCACCGCCAGGAAGCAUCCCUUAUUGCUUCUAACAAGAGCUGCCAUCGUGAUGCAUUCUGUUGACCACAUUUUGAAACACAGAUUGUUUCUAAUUUUGCUUCUCUGAUUUACCCUCAGUACUGGAAUAUCUCCAUUGCUUUCUCUCUCUCUCUCUCUCUCUCUCUGUGUUUUUUUGUUUGUUUGUUUGGUUGGUUUUUUUUUUUUUGGAGUUUUUUCCUGACCAAGUGCAUACUGAGAGACCAGGACCUGCCCCUCACCCUUGCUGCCAGGAGGUGUGGGGGGCUCAGACCAUGGAAGGGCUGGCAAUAUUCAGGCUGAGCCAAAGCCUCCAUGAAGGCAUUCUGUUUGGCAGGAAAGUGUAGUGUUUAGGUUAUUGUCAAGCAGCCUUGAGAUAUAAAAAUGUUUCUGUGGGAGUUCUUGGCUCUGCAUGAAGGCUGAGAGAGCCUGUGGGGUGGAGGAACUGCUGAGCUGCCUCCUGCUUUGCAGAUGGAUGGGAGAGGAGGGGCUGGCUCCAGUUUGGGUCUGACCAUUGGUUGUGUUCUCAUGCAAGGGCAGGGAUGGGUUUUUCUUCUGGAAUUGCUCUGUUUUGAGCCAAGGUGUUGCUGGAGAUCCCACCGUGUGUGAGGUGGAAAUAAAGCCUUAAAAUGUAAAGGGGUACUGAGUGCAGUGGGUGUUAACCAACUGCACAUUCUCCCUCCUGCUCUGCAGAUGCUCCUGUGUGGCUCCAGAGGAGCUCAGGUCCUUGAAGCAGGGAGGAUUGGUUUCUGUCAGCAGGCAAAGGCUUCUGCCCUGAACACCGCUGCCUGAACUCCUGUGCAAGCAGCUCCAGAUUGUCCUCACGACUCCAAAAUAUGGAUUAAAAAUAAAAGCUGGGUAAAUUAGAUCAACCAGGCUCCAGGGAAGAACUCUCUGCUGUGGAUGCUUGGAGCUGUGCUGUGACUGGGCAACCCAAGCCCCCGCAGCUGAUGGAGCUGCCCAUGGGUUCCAUCUGUGGACGGAAGCAGUGAAACACCUUGCACAGCAUUUGUGGGUUUUGUUCAGAAAAACAACUUUGUUUUUGGAGAGAGAAUGUUAUUUUUCUCUUUGCAAUGUCCAAAGCAGAAACUGCCUACUUUAAGCUUUCUGAAUAAUCUGAGUAUAUUUUGCAUAUGUUUUCUUCUGCUGUUCAAAAGAUAGAAAUGGGAGUUAAGGAUGGCUGCUUGUUUUGGCACGGUGUCACGUAGGCUGAUCCAAAGAAAGAAAAUCCCUCGUGAUGACGAGGAUGGUGAUGGAAGCUCCAGGUCCUUCCUCCCACGGGGACGGGGUGGCUGAGCUCAGAGCUGUGUGGGGGACAGCCUGCAGUGGGGCCUUGGGCUCAGCACCCCCAACAGCCGCUGGCUCGCACUGCAGCACCUUCUGCAUGGGAAGAGCCCUCAGAGGCUGGGGCUGAAGGUAUGCCAGCCACCUCUGGCCAGGUGUGUCGCAGGUGCCAGGAGAAGGGGAAAAGUGCUGGGAUUCAUCGCAAUCUUUGGUUUGUAAGAGGUGACAAUUUUACAUAGUUUAUGCAAAUUUCGCCAAGUCUUUAAAAAAAAAUGUUGUGAAGAGGACACUGGCAUCAGCUUGAAAGGAAUGUAAAUGAGCGUAUCCUUAAUGCACAGUGCUGUUUGCCAGCAAGAACAAGUCUAGGGGAGAUGUAUUCCCACUGAACUCACAGAGUUACAGCGGUGCUGACACCAAGUUCUGUAAUUUUGUGCUAUUGCAGGGAGCAAAGUCAUCUCGUUGGGGAACUCUUCAUCUUUCUGGCUCUGCUUUGUAUACUGCUAAUGAUUCUGUGGUUACAUUUUUUUUUUAAAUUUGAUUUUUGGUGGUGUUUUUUGCUUUUUCUUUUAUUUUUACAUUUCAGUGAAUGUCAUGCCUUUAUGUAAGACUCCAUAUAGUAUACAGAAAAAUGAAUUAUGCAAAACACCACCCAGCUGUCAGCGUACACGUGAAGAGCACUAUCACGCUGAAAUAAGUCAACGUGUGGUGAGUGUGAAGUAAUGCUGGUAUUCUCUAUCAGAUAAGGAAGUAAUUGUGCACGCAUUUGUGUGGAAAAGAUGAAAUUCCAGAUUGCAUGCAUGCAGGCAGCAGAGCUGGGGCUGGGUGCUGCGCUGCCAUGGCAACGGAGCAAGGCUUGGUACAGAAAUAGCUGAGCAUCGUUGGCCUCACUUCUGGGAUGUGCUGUGUCCAACUUGGUAGCAGCCCCACUCGAAGCCCAGAGGGACCACCAGCAUUCCCCAUCACUGAGAGGCCAUGCCCUACUCCUGGUGAUGGCAGUGAGUAACGUCAGAGCUUCGUUCUUUAAAGAGCAGAGCAAAAACUUGCACGUGGAGGGCUGCUUCUCAUUUAUCAUCACACACAAUCUCCUACUACCAUCUGCCAUUAUCAUCAAAUAUUUAAAAACACCUGGAAUUGGCUGCUGUUAAUGGUAGGGAUUGCUAUUUCAUAGGCUCCUUGCCCCAUGCCUUCUGCAGCCCGGCCGUGGCCCCGCCAACCCACAGUGCCAUGCAUGCAGCCGGGAGCCACUGGGAUGAGGUGAUGUGUCGGAGGGGUGCGAGGUGCUGAGGGGCUGUUACUGACACAUCUUUGGGCCAGACCUCAGCUCUCAUAGAGAACGUGAACCCUGGGAGCCCUGAGAGCCCAGAACGGGGCUGUGUCCCCCCGGAACUCCCAGGUGUGGGGCAGUGCAGAGAGCUCUGAAAAAUGAAAAAUUAAGAGCAAAUGAGAUUUCUUCUCUCUGAUGGAUUUUGUACCUCCCUGCUCUUUCCUCCACACUUUGCUGCUGGCAAGUGCUAGCUAAAUAGCAGCAUGAAGUGCUCAUUUGAAGCCUGAUUUAUGAACACUUUUGAAAUUAAAAUAGUUCCGAGUUAAAAUUCUUUUUAUAUGGCACACUGUUGGACAGUCUGUGGCCACAAAAACCUGUUGAGCAGCAAUGAUUCUAAACUGAAAACAAGGUUGGAAUACUUGUAUUUGAAUAAGCAUCAUUAUCUUGCAUAUUUAACUUCUGAUCUGGUCUCAUAUUUUGUUCCUCAAGAAAAGUUAAUCAUAGAAUUUUUAUCAUAGAAUCACAGAAUGGCCUGGGUUGCAAAGGAGCACAGUGCUCAUCCAGUUCCAACCCCUGCUGUGUGCAGGUCACCAACCAGCAGCCCAGGCUGCCCAGAGCCACAUCCAGCCUGGCCUUGAAUGCCUGCAGGGAGGGGGCAUCCACAGCCUCCUUGGGCAGCCUGUUCUGGUGCUUCACCACCCUCUGGGUGAAAAACUGCCUCCUAAUAUCCAACCUAAACCUUCCCUGUCUCAGUUUAAAUCCAUUCCCCCUUGUCCUAUCUCUGUAAGUGUAUUUCUUUUUCUUUCAGAGAAAUUGAAGUCCUUUGGUGACAGAACAGCCUUAGAUCUCUACGGCAGGUGAACUGUGAGAGCUUUGUGCCUAAUUGCAUCCAUUCAUGCCAACAAAACCCUCCCAGGUUCUCAAUUGCAGUCUUCACCCAGAGCAAGAUUUUGCUGGACCCUUGAGCAGCUGUUUCCUACUGAAAAAGUGUUUCUGUGGUCACAGGCAUGAAGCCAUCUGGUGCUGAUCCUUCCGAGAUGCAAUCCUUUGCUCUGGCACCACCACAGUGCACAUUCAUGGUCAUAAGCCUGUUUUCAAAUCAUCUUCAGAUUAAAGUUGAAGGAAGUAAUCUAAGGAAAAACAGAUUACUUUGAAAGUAAUGGAUUAUCUUGCCUCUAAUUUCUUCCAAGUCUACACGUAAAGUUGUUUUCUGAGUUUAGUCUGAAGCUGUUUGAUGGCGGGGAAAAAAAAAAGGUGAUGCUCUGGGAAUCCAGUGUUGGUGCUGAAAAUGCAAGUUUUUUGAGCACUCUGGUUUUAAUCUGUAUCAUAUUCCACCUGCAUCACCAGCUGCUGCUUUUCUCUGUGGUGCCCUAUGAGAUGUGCCCAGUGUUCUGCUCGCUUCUUGCGUGCGGAUUGGAUUUUCUUGUCUGUAUUUACAUUGUGAAGGAAUUGAUGGGAAAAAUGGAACCUUCUAAUUGCCUAAAGAGAAUCAAUACGUGGCUUAUUAGGAGAUACUUAACACUGGUUGUAUCCUAUGAUGUUCAGAGAUCGUUUUUAUUUGAUAGGUGUUUCUAUUGCUCAGUUAAAAAAAAAAUCAUGUUUGAGACAUGCAGAAGUGUGAAGAACUAAUUCGCACUGUUAUAAAAUAGUUAUGUAAAUGAGAUGUGGAGGAAUCAUUUAUCUGAAAGAUUACAUGGGAAUCACAUCAAUCACCGGGAUCAGGUAAUGAAGCCCUAUUCCUUCAUAGUAAAUAUGGUGCUCUGGCCCUGAUAUCUGAAUACAGAGGAGGGGAUUUACCAGUUUCCUGUGGGGAUUUUGCAUCUGCUAUAAAUAGAUGUCACAAACACUGUUUUGCAGUUAGAUUUGCCAUUGUGCAGCAUGGGCAAAUGAUUGGCUUUGCUAGCAAAGUUUUGUGAGCUGAGUUGUGAAGGUCAAACAAUCAGAAAAUGUAAAAAAAAAUUAGAUUUAAAAUAAGAUACAUUCAAGCAAUUUUUUUUUUUAAUGUAACAUAAUAUCUGUAAUAUGAAAUAAUUACCUGAGGCAUCAACUUAUAGGGACCCUGCCAAACAACAGCAUACUUUGUAAGGAAGUUACAUUUGGAGAAUGUUUGGGAACGACCUGCAAAAGGGCUUUGCCUUGUGAAACUGACCAUUCAUUUUCUUCAGCACCUCAAAAGAAUCCACAUGAAGACCUCUGCUAACCGAAGACUCAGAAAUGGUCUCACCUUCCUGUCGUGCUGGAUUAAGAAGCCAUAAAAAGACAGACAUGGAGAAGAGAAUUUCUGAAUAACAGGUGUUGAAGGUGAAUUACUGGAGAGAGGUGGUCGUUCAUCUGAAUUUCAAACUAAUUAAACUACCUGAUACCUGUCAAAAAUAAUCAGGAUAAAAACUGCUUUCUUGAAGCAACUCUUUCAAGAUGGGAAGCCAGUGUUGGGGGGAUGCGUUGGACACUGUGAAACCAGCAUGGCACUGGGCUGGUACUCCAAGAGCAUCUUCUGCAGCCACCAGUGGGAUUCUCCAUCCCAGGAGAGGACUUGUCCAUCUUUGGAACGACAAGAGGCAGGUUGGGGUCUGUCACUGUUAUGCCGAUGGAUGCAGCUACGAGGAGUCACUGAAACGUUCCCAAAAGCAGUGUGGGCAAACAGCCAGGCCUGCCUCAGAAAGCAGUUUCAUUGGAAGCUGGCAUUCAUAAACUCGACCCCAGGUUUGAGCAGAGCUGCAGGGCUGAUUCCAGACAGCCGACUCUGUGAGGAAGGCACAAAUGCCUCAUUGCUUUUACUGGCAGAGAACCUCAGUUAGCUGAUGCUUCAAAGGAGCGGCCAGCCUGCCGUGAGUUCAGGGUCAAGUCCCAGCAUCAGCGCUGCAGCUGCCCAAACUGCCAGCACCGAGCGCUUCUUCUUCUUUGGCCUUGAACCCUGUUAUUAAGAAUAACAUAUAAUAACAAAGGAGCGUUUUGAGUGAUUUUGUUAGAAAUACAUCAGGCUGUCUAACAGUUUAUUGGCAUCGAUAAUUCCUUAUUAAGCCCUCUACACCCAUUAUGGUUUGUGCUUUCACUUUUUUUUUCCAUGUUAGUUUCCAGGCAACCAGCAAGAACUGAAUUACAUUAAGCUAUUAAUUCAGGACCGCACGCCAGCUCGGGCUUCUUCUGCCGAUUUGCUCCUCUCACGUGCAAGUUUCCUCAUAAAAACCCCUUUUUAUUGGUUUAAUCUUCAGUGGCACUCGGUCCAGGGAACUGAUAUGAAAAUUGCCAUGCCUGCACCUGAUUUUUGUUUCUUGCUUGUUUUUUGAUGCUUGCUGGUGGGGUUUGUUUGAUGUAGGAUUAAGCAGAGGUCUGUGAGGAGGGGUUGAUGUUAGCUGCCAUAGAUACAGCUAUCUACCUCUGUUUUCUUCAAUGCUGAGUAAGAGAUGAGAUCAUAUUGAAAACUUGUGUGGCAGGAACACCUCUGUUAUCGUUAAAGAGAAGCAGUUUCCAUGUUAUGCUCCAUCGCUAAAUGCCUGUAGCACUGGGAAAGGCACUGGCUGCAGAUCCAGCUGAAAGCAAUAUCUUCAGGUGGGACAGAGAUCUGGGGACAAAAUGCAGUAGUGCCUAAUAACUAUGAGCCCUGAAAUCCAGCCUGUGCUCUAUACUGAGCCUACCAUCUAUUUUAUUCCAAGGCCAGAAAUGUCAUUACCCAUUCCACAACCUAUGCUCAGAAGGGACAAGUGCAGACUUCAGGUACUUCUACUGUCUUUAUCUUAUCCUGUUUAUUGGUGCCUAUGAGUUCAAGGGGUCUGUGACACUAGAGAAGUCAUGCUGGUGAAAUACAGGGAGUCCACAGUUAGAAUAAUCAACCUUAAUGAAAAGAAUCUGUCUUUAUCCACAGCCAAAAGUAACAACAAACAAGUAAUAAAUAAGUAAAUGCUAUAUGAGACUGAAACCAAAACAGAGACACCAUUUCAGAUAAAGUUUCUAUGGCUUUUGUCAAAUAGUUGAGCUGGACAGAAUUUUAAAAACAGUGAUUUCCCUUUUUUUUCUUUUCUAAACAAACCACUGUUCUGAGCUGUUUUCUGUUUUACAGGGGUCUGUCAUAAGAGCUCGAAUCGUUGAAAUUCAGACCAUGAAAGUUAACCAUGACUUCAUAAAACUUCACUGGAAAAACCCCAAACUGGAUGUUUGCAGUUUGUAAGCAAGGUGCCUGUGAUCUGUGCUCCUCCCUGUUAUAAGAGGCCAUCAGAAGUUGUACUGCUAAAAAGGAUUUUUACACCUUAUCGGCUCUCUUGGAACAGUUAUACUGAGCAGACCUGGUGUUUGCUCCUGUAUGGGAACUGCUGAGUCACGGCCUGAACCUCUGAUUGAUCACCUGAGGUGAGCCAUGAGUCAGCCAGAGGAGCACAGGUGAAGGCAAUUCACCUGUGCUGCCGGAAGGGGUGGAGCCAGGCUCCACCCCUCCUGGACCUAUUUAAGAGCUGGCUACCAGAGGGGAAGGAUCUCUUCUGGAGAUCCUCCUCUUUGAUAUCUUCUAGUGAGCUCAACCCAAGGCUUAGGAAUGUGCCCCAUGUCAGAAAUCUUUGGAGGUAUUCCAGAAGUACUGAAAUGUGGCUGUCCAGUUAAAUACAAUCAGAUGCAUAAGGGAAAAAAGCGAGCUCUCUCCAAGAUCUAUGUUCAGUAAUAAGAUAUUUUUACUUAACAAAGUCUCUACCAGAUGGCGUUUCUAAAUUUUGAAUAUUAGGUCUGGUUGUGAAUGAGGCCUCCACAGGGUUUGAUGUACCGUGGAUGAGAUGCAGCGUUUAAGCCAUGGGUAAGAGCUCGUGUGCUGCUCCUGUUUGCAGCGAGGCAGCAGUGACAGAGCUGGCAUCAGCAUCGUGACAGACACCAUUAUGGGCAUCAGCACCACUACACCAUUAUGGGCAUCAGCACCGUGACACCAUUAUGGGCAUCAGCACCGUGACACCAUUAUGGGCAUCAGCACCGUGACACCAUUAUGCCAGCAGCCUUGCUACCAAGCCCACCCAUCCCAUGGGAGUGGCUCCUCCAAAAGCCAUGUCUGUGAGUGAUACCUGGGAGAUGUGGGCUCUUUCAAAAACUCAGCUGUGCAUCGUAUGCUGUCUGAAAUGUAUCUUCAUUUGUCAGAUGCCUUCUUAGUCAUCGCAGGACGCAACUACGAAAGCCUGUGCUCAGCACUGCCACCUUCACCAGCCAAUUUUCUUGAUGAAAAGAAACUCAUCAGUUUGAAAGAAUGUUUCCUGUGAAUUCAUGUUGCCUUGGCAUUAAGAAGCAGCACUGAUGCCAUUUACCAACCAAGCCUUUAUCAGCAGCCUCGUGGUUCCCUGGGGACAGAAGACUGGAGACAACACCGAGUUCCCAAACCCAGCAACACGGCACUGAUUUGUGCUUGUUUGCUCAGUGGUCACUUUGCUAAAGCAUUCAAACCUUCUGGUUGCCCUUUGUAAACAGACUUUCCUGCCUUCUGUAAAUGCUGACUGUUGCUUUGUCCUGAUCCCGGAGACCUUUUCCAGUACAGCUCCUCAUUCAGUCAUGUCACGGACAUGAAACAACUACAGACUGUAUCUUAACAGUGUAACCCCUCUUCUCCAUAAGGGAAGUAAAGUGGGGAUUGCUGACCUGGAAAUGCAGGCAGUUUGGUGACUGCACAAGGAACUCAGGAGAGCAGCUCUGGGGAAACAUUAGCCAGGGAAAGCGAAAGAAGAGAAACUGUAGUUAGGAACUUCAGAUGGAGCUUGAAUCACAUUUACAUGCUUUUCUAUUUCUCAUAUGUUUGCAAGUUUUACUGCCCUGGUCUCCCAGAGCAGUGUGAAUUAGCAGGUAUGUUAUUCCUGUGCAGAAGAUGAACUGUGCUGGGAAGGAAGAAGAUUGCUCCCCAGAGCCCUACCCAGGAAAGCUGCAGAAAGCUGGGAAGUGAACGCAGGUCCCAGGGGCCCCAAAUGGCCCCGCCACGUACUGCCUGAUGGGCUGGGAGCUGCAAGCUGCGAGCUCGGCUCGAGUUUUAAAGCUCAAUUCACAUGAUGUAUGCUGACUGGAACAGGUCCGUUUUAGACAAAAUGCUCCCUGCCUCUCACAGAGAUCCAGCAGCUUUGCAGCUCUCUCUGCAUUGCUUCCAGUGCUUGCUAAGUGGGAGAAUUUGGGGCACUUGCAGAUUGGGAAUGAAAGUGAGAAAUCACUGAACACCCAGAGCUCCAAUGGGAGUGGAACUGAUGGAAGGGCCCCAAACUGAUGGUGGUUUUAGGGUGGUUGGUUUCACUGUUGGUUGUAACCUUUCUGCGAAUGCUUUUCUAGGUAUACAUUUCAGGAGAAGGCAAAGAUGAAUUAAAUAAGGAAUUAUAGCUCUUGAAUGAGAAUUUCAUCCAUAAAAUGCAGAGUAUGUGACACAAUAAAGGUGCGACCGUUGUCCUACUGUGUUCAGAUCUUCAGAUUUCCAGGCUCUGUUCCUUAGAUGUGAAAAAUAUCAUAAUUGUUUCGGUGUAGGCAUGGAAAAUGAACUUCAAAACACUUUGAUCUAGAGGAGCUGAGCUUAGUUCUGGUGGGAAUUAAGAAGGAGAACUUUCAAGUAAUUUACGUUUGAAAUGGCUUCAUAGCUUUUGCUUCAUAAAAACAGAGAGAGAUAAAAUGAUAAUAAAAAUUCAUAUUUUGGAAAUGGACAUUCUCCUCUCUGGCAGUAAAAACUAAAGGUAAUUUGCUCUAUUUCAAAAAGAUUGUUAGCAGUUACUGUGAUUUCCAGGGAUGUAGCUUUAAUGCUCAACACAUCUUAAUCUUGCCGACUAUAAAACAUUCCUCUGAUGGUAAGCUGAUGAUCUAUGGGUUUGAGUCAGAAUUCAUGUGUGGAAUGAAUGUCUUGGUGAAAUGGAUGCACAGAGAAACCUCGUGUAACCAGGUGGUUGCCUCUGGCCAUGGAGCCAUGCACACACAUACAGCCGUGAGCCUUCUGCCAGCAUCAGCCCAGCCACACUUAACGCCUCGCCCCCACAACCAGCAGCACUUGCCGGAUGCCUGUGUUGAUGUGGGAUUUCCUUAUGUAACGUACUUACUGCUGAAAUACCUGAGUGUGAAUGGAAAAGUUAAGAAGAAAAUGCACUGAAAAAAAAAAACCUAAGAGGUUUUGUUGUGCUGUGCCUCAGUGAUGCAAAGAGGAAUGCUGGGCGCUGGCUUUGGGGAGCUUGAGGUCACUGUUCAUGGGGAGACCGAGCGAGGGACCCCCAUCAGCCUCACUGGGAGGGGAAUCUUUGGUUCUUCACCUGUGGCCCUGAAAAAAUAACAUUUCAAAUUAAGCUUAGGCCCAGUCAUUUGUAAAGAAACCAGUUCGCAUCAACAGGGAGCAAACUCAGUUUAUGGGUAAAAUAGUUUAAUUCCAACUUGAGGGAAUUACAUUAAAUAUC
Molecule: long non-coding RNA, 14491 nt
Organism: Lagopus muta (rock ptarmigan)
Lineage: Eukaryota; Metazoa; Chordata; Aves; Galliformes; Phasianidae
Exons: 6
Source: RefSeq, a predicted model, not a curated record